CGAAGGUGCAAGCGUUACUCGGAAUUACUGGGCGUAAGCGUGCGUAGGUGGUUCGUUAAGUCUGAUGUGAAGCCCUGGGCUCAACCUGGGAAUGGCAUUGGAACUGGCGACCUAGAGUGCGGUAGAGGGUAGUGGAAUUCCCGGUGUAGCAGUGAAAUGCGUAGAGAUCGGGAGGAACAUCCGUGGCGAAGGCGACUACCUGGACCAGCACUGACACUGAGGCACGAAAGCGUGGGGAGCAAACAGGAUU
RNAcentral lists this ribosomal RNA (250 nucleotides) under uncultured bacterium. RNAcentral describes it as "partial 16S ribosomal RNA". It matches the Rfam family "Bacterial small subunit ribosomal RNA", at positions 527 to 779 of the family's 1533-position model. The record is from RNAcentral.